Long non-coding RNA from Pan troglodytes (chimpanzee), 2935 nucleotides. RefSeq lists it as uncharacterized. The transcript has 3 exons. The record is from RefSeq and is a predicted model, not a curated record. Lineage: Eukaryota; Metazoa; Chordata; Mammalia; Primates; Hominidae.
ACGGAGUCUCACUCUGUCACCUAGGCUGGAGUGCAGUGGCACAAUCUUGGCUCACUACAACCUCCGAUCCGCCUCCUGGGUUCAAGCGAUUCUCUUGCCUCGGACUUCUGAGUAGCUGGGAUUACAGACGCCCGCCAUCACACCCGGCUAAGUUUUGUAUUUUCAGUAGAGAUGGGGUUUCACUGUGUUGGUCAGGCUGGUCUCAAACUCCCGACCUCAGAUGAUCUGCCUGCCUCAGCCUCCCAAAGUGCUGGGAUUACAGGCAUGAGCCACCGCGCCCAGCCCUGAACUUAGGUUUUGAUGUCCCAGGGAUGUCCUGGUUGCUGGUCUUGCCCCACACCGGGUGGGGUUACGGUGGGUGGUGACGAGGAGUCAAUGUCAAAACCCUUUUAGCCACAGUUGAGCAAUAGGGGAGGUUUGGAGGGCGUGGUUCCUGGGCUGAGGCCCCCUGGGGCCCGUUACUGAGUUCAGUUUUGUCUGCUUUGGAGUCUCUUGCUGUCAUCUCGACGCGCUGGGCCAGCAUGAUCCUGCGAGGAGUUGUACUUCAAAAUUUAACAAGGAACAAACGCAAAGCUUCAAAAGGGGAAAUACAAGCUUUCCCAGAGGUUUCUCCAGGUGCAGCAUGUGGUGGUAGCAACAGCACAGGCAUUUCCUUACUUAACCAGCAGAGACUAAGGGAUCUCCUGGGUCAGGUUCUGUGGAGUUCCAGCAGAAGCCGUGGAUCGUGGAAGUUCAGCGACACCACCGUCCUGCCCCGUGGGAGAGGUGGGCACUGAGAUGGGUUUGACAAACGCUCUUUCGAAUCCAGAAAAGUCAAGUAGAGAAGGAAAGUAAGGGGCACUUACUGUGCCUCGAAUCACAAGACUGCGGUGGACCGGCCUGGUGAAGAUCUGUGGAUGUCUUCAGCAAGAAACUUGGAGAGGCCCCUAAAGAUAUCGCCAGGGAGAAAACAAAGAAAGCUCCAGUCGCUCCUUCCUAAGCUGUCACGACUACUCUUUAAAAUGGCCCCAUGCUUGGAUUUCUGUCACCACGACUGGGGGAGCCUGGGCGAGUGUGCUUUCCCUCACUGCACCUCCCAUGGGAGCCCAGGCUGCUGCGCCGUCCUUAGACUGUUGGGAUGAUGAGCGGACGGUGAACUCCCACCACCUGCGCCUGUGAAGGGAGCUCCGGCUGAGGGGCUUUGCUGGCUUCAGGUCGGGGGCUGCCGUAGUUCUGUGUUGAGGAGAUGGUGUGGACUGCGGCACAGCCAAGCCUGAGCCCCACGCCAGGAUGGGUGGAGUGCCCAGAAAGCAUUCUGAUUUCCGGCCUGGCGUGUCUUCCUUCCAUCACACUGAAAGUUUUACCCAACAGCUUGUUUAAGUUUUUUUUCUUUUUGAGGUGGGGUCUUGCUCUGUCGCCCAGGCGAUCCUCCCACCUCAGCCUCCCAAGGAGCUGGGACUACAGGCGCACACCACCACAUCCUGCUCUUUUUUUUUUUUUUUAAUUUUAUAGAAAUGGAGUUUUGCCACGUUGUCCAGGCUGGUCUCAAACUCCUGAGUUCAAGCUAUCCACCUACCUCAGCCUCACAAAAUGCUAGGAUUACUGGUGUGAGCCAUCAUGCCUGGCCAAGUUUUGUUUUGUUUUGUUUUUUUUAAAUUUUAAAUUUAAUUUGAUUUUUAGAGUUGGGAUCUUGCUCUGUGGCCCAGGCUGGUCUCGAAUUCUUAGCUUUGAGCCAUCCUCCCACCUGGGCCUUCCUAAGCAGUGGAAUUACAGUUGUGAGCCACUGUGCCUGACCUCACUGAGGUUUUUAUCACAGAAUGAUAAAAAAAGCGCCAUGCCCAUAGUUUUGUAGGUAGUGAGUGCUGUUGCUAGGACAUGCUCCUGGUUAGUUUGGCUUCAGAUACUGUAUUUUUCCAUGUUUCUACAUUGAGCCUGGCCUUGUGUGACUUCUGCGAAAUAUCCAUUUCUCCACCCUCUUUGUUCUCUGCCAGUUGCAAUUUCUUGAGUCAUUUCGUUUUUGUUGCAGGAAAUCAGGUUUUUUUUUUUUUUUUGAUGGAGUCUUGCUCUGUUGCCCAGGCUGGAGUCCAGUGGUGCGAUGUCGGCUCACUGCAAUCUCCCUCUCCCAGGUUUGAGUGAUUCUCCUGCCUCAGCCUCCCGAGUAGCUGGGAUUACAGGCGCCCACCACCACACCUGGCUAAUUUUUGUAUUUUUAGUAGAGACAGGGUUUCACCAUGUUGGCCAGGCUAGUCUCAAACUCCUAACCUCAAGUGAUCCACCUGCCUUGGCCUCCCAAAGUGCUGGGAUUACAGGUGUGGCCACCGCGCCUGGCAGGAAAUCAGGUUUAAGGGACUUGCCUGCGAGUGAGUGUGACGGCUGGAGCCUCUCAACAGUGCAGACUGCUGUAAAUGAAGACUGUGGAAUGGCGAAUCUCAUUGUUCAUGUGGGGCCGUCAGACUGAUCAGCUGUACAUAAUCUAUAGGAUAUUCACAUUAAUACAUUUACAUAGAUAUAACUUUAAAGAAGAUUUACUAUAACAGCUAAAAUUAUGACUAAUGAUAUUAGAUUUUAAGUUUUAUACAAUUUUUAAACAUUAUUCAUUUAUUUUUUUUUUGAGAUGGAGUCUCGCUCUGUCGCUCAGUCUGGAAUGCAGUGGCGCAAUCUCGGCUCACUGCAACCUCAGCCUCCUGGGUUAAAGUGAUUCUCCUGCCUCAGCCUCCUGAGUAGCUGGGAUUACAGGUGUGCACCACCAUGCCUGGCUGAUUUUUGUAUUUUUAGUAGAGAUGGGGUUUCACCAUGUUGGCCAGGCUGGUCUUGAACUCCUGACCUCAGGUGAUCCACCCACUUCAGCCUCCCAAAAUGCUGGAAUUACAGGUGUAAGCCACCAUGCCCAGCCAUGAAACAUUUGUAUUAAUAACAUAAAUGUAACUGAAAGAAUGCCUAAUAUAAUUUAUUAUUU